AUUGAACGCCGGCGGCAGGCCUAACACAUGCAAGUCGAACGGCAGCACAGAAGAGCUUGCUCUUUGGGUGGCGAGUGGCGGACGGGUGAGUAAUGUCUGGGAAACUGCCCGAUGGAGGGGGAUAACUACUGGAAACGGUAGCUAAUACCGCAUAACGUCGCAAGACCAAAGUGGGGGACCUUCGGGCCUCACACCAUCGGAUGUGCCCAGAUGGGAUUAGCUGGUAGGUGGGGUAAUGGCUCACCCAGGCGACGAUCCCUAGCUGGUCUGAGAGGAUGACCAGCCACACUGGAACUGAGACACGGUCCAGACUCCUACGGGAGGCAGCAGAGGGGAAUAUUGCACAAUGGGCGCAAGCCUGAUGCAGCCAUGCCGCGUGUAUGAAGAAGGCCUUCGGGUUGUAAAGUACUUUCAGCGGGGAGGAAGGCGAUGUGGUUAAUAACCGCAUUGAUUGACGUUACCCGCAGAAGAAGCACCGGUUAACUCCGUGCCAGCCGCCGCCGUAA
This 506-nucleotide ribosomal RNA is filed under the name uncultured bacterium. Its description in RNAcentral is "partial 16S ribosomal RNA". It matches the Rfam family "Bacterial small subunit ribosomal RNA", at positions 30 to 523 of the family's 1533-position model. The record is from RNAcentral.